GACGAACGCUGGCGGCGUGCUUAACACAUGCAAGUCGAACGGAAAGGCCCUGCUUUUGUGGGGUGCUCGAGUGGCGAACGGGUGAGUAACACGUGAGUAACCUGCCCUUGACUUUGGGAUAACUUCAGGAAACUGGGGCUAAUACCGGAUAGGAGCUCCUGCUGCAUGGUGGGGGUUGGAAAGUUUCGGCGGUUGGGGAUGGACUCGCGGCUUAUCAGCUUGUUGGUGGGGUAGUGGCUUACCAAGGCUUUGACGGGUAGCCGGCCUGAGGGGGUGACCGGCCAAAUUGGGGAGGGGAAACGGCCCAACCUCCCUGGGGGGGAGAAGUGGGGGAAAUUUCACAAAAGGGGGGAAAGCCAGGGAACAACACCGCGCGGGGGGGAUGGGCCCUUGCGGUGUGAAACCCUUUUUCCCGUGGGAAAACGGGGGGGGGGGGGAAAGGGGAAAAAACCCCCGGGCUAAACAUG
RNAcentral lists this ribosomal RNA (467 nucleotides) under uncultured bacterium. Its description in RNAcentral is "partial 16S ribosomal RNA". It matches the Rfam family "Bacterial small subunit ribosomal RNA", at positions 28 to 505 of the family's 1533-position model. The record is from RNAcentral.